UACGGGGGGGGCAAGCGUUGUUCGGAAUUACUGGGCGUAAAGGGCUCGUAGGCGGCCAACUAAGUCAGACGUGAAAUCCCCGGGCUUAACCUGGGAAUGGCAUUUGGGACUGCAAGGCUCGAGUGCGGCAGAGGAGACUGGAAUUCCUGGUGUAGCAGUGAAAUGCGUAGAUAGCAGGAGGAACACCGAUGGCGAAGGCAGGUCUCUGGGCUGACACUGACGCUCAUGCACGAAAGCGUGGGGAGCAAACAGG
RNAcentral lists this ribosomal RNA (253 nucleotides) under uncultured bacterium. RNAcentral describes it as "partial 16S ribosomal RNA". It matches the Rfam family "Bacterial small subunit ribosomal RNA", at positions 524 to 776 of the family's 1533-position model. The record is from RNAcentral.